ACUAACUGAAUUUUCUAAGUUACAUCUUUUGGGCGGCAAAAUGAUUAAUGCAAUCACUGAAAUCUUGGUUAUCUAGACAGCUCACUGCAUGUGGUCGAGAGCCGAAUGAAACGGAGACAGGGAGAACUAGUGUUGAAUCUUGACUUUAUAUCUGUAGAUUUGGGGCAAUAGUUGAUUUCCCUGGGCUUCGAAUUACUCAUCUAAAAUCUGCAUGUAUAGUAUUGAUACCUCUGUAAAUGUAGGAUAUCAUAAUUAAGAAUAAACCCACAAAGGCAAAGUGCCAUGGCCCCCAGAGUAGAGUGAAGAGUAGAUAUUCCUGUUAUUCUUACUAAUAGACUGGCAACAGACUUUCCAAAUACGCUCGGCUCCUACAGUCAGCACACCUUCAAGUAUAAUCAUUUUACAGCAACAAUGAUUGGUGACACGUAAGUGGACAGACAGGGAUAGAGUACAGGAGACAUGAAAGCAGAAGCAGCGGCCAUUUGAGGAAAGGAUGGCAAUUGGCAAAGGGGGACAGAGCCAUGGGGGAUGGGGCGAAAGGCAUGUGCAGAGGCUGGGGAGAUUCCCCAAAGUUUCAAGUACAUUACUGAUUUUGCAGAGGACUAAAGUUAUGUUCUCAGCACCCACAUUAGGCCAGCCACCUGUAACUCCAGCUCCAGGAGGAUCUGACGCCCUCUUCUGGCCUCUUUAAGCACUGCAUUCAUAUGCACAUACACACUCUCCCUACUACCUACACACACAUACACACACACACACACACACACACACACACACACACACACACACACAAAUAAAAAUAAAAUCAUUCAUUCUUUAAAGAGCAAAGUGUAAUGAUCUGUAUACAGGAACAGGCUGUAGUUAAACUCAUUACUUUAAGAUUUAAAUAAUUGUUAUGGUGGUGCUGGUUUAGUACUGAGGGUACAGGGUGAACAGGCAGGGGAAAAAUCAGUGAAGCACUGAAAAGUUUGUGGCUGUUGAUUUGUACCAGGUCCAAGGAUAACCGUGUACAGGAGCACC
RNAcentral lists this long non-coding RNA (1017 nucleotides) under Mus musculus (house mouse). Its description in RNAcentral is "long non-coding RNA chr9:13900881-13901898". Lineage: Eukaryota; Metazoa; Chordata; Mammalia; Rodentia; Muridae. The record is from RNAcentral.